AAUUUUUUAUUUCAAGUCAAUUCAAUUUUAAUAAUGUUGAUACCCAUUAUGCCCACGAGCUUGCUUUAAAGUACAUUGUUUUCAAAAACUACUGUAUCAUUAUGUAAGGAGAGAAACGUUGCGGAAAUUGAACUAUAAAUAUUGAUAUUAAAAUAUUUGAAAUAUUUAUCAAAGGCAAAUUGCUUAGUUUUGUACAAUAUUGUAUAUUUUGAAUUGACGUACUAAUAUUAAACAAAAACUAAUUGGCUACAUUUUUUUCUGGGUUUUACAACAUUCUAACUUCAACUUAAAUCUAACGUUAACUACUUUAUUUGUUUUAGUCUAUAAUUGGAGACACUUAUCUCAUCGAUUGAGCAACUCAGCAGGAAAUAUUUACUGGAAAAGUUGUUGUGAGGAGCAAAAAUUUAUCGCUACCAGACGGAAAAUAGUUUAAAGAUAAUAGUAAUAAACAAGAUAGUAGUUUGAAUCGGGAAACGUCAUCGAACAAUAACAAUGAAUUACAUCAUCAAUUAAAUGAGAAGUAAACUACCUGUAUUGACCAAAACAUGUAACAAACAAAGUAAUUGAUAUAUUUAAAACUCAAAAGGAAAGGAUAAAGGUUCGUGAUUGAAUCAUAGUACUAAUUAUAGCAAGGCACCUAGAACUAGAAUUAAAACAUUUUCUUCAUUGGAUUUCGACAUCUUGAUGGCGAACGGGACCACUAGUUUUUUGGACAAAUCGAUAAAUCGCUAGAAAAUUCUUCGCGGUUUCUUUUAGUGAAAAACAUUGAGUGCGAAUUACCAGUUAUUGACAGGAACGUACAAUAAUUACAACUAUUUUUAUUUUGUGGUUGAUUUCUAAUAAAGGUCCAUCCAUCUUGUAAAGAUGCAGAUCUGAUAAUUUCAAAGAAAUACUUAUUUUGCUCCUCCAGAAAGUAUUUGGUUGAUUAUAAUAGUAGUAGAAAAUUGAAACUAUUACUAUAUGAAAUGAUAUUAAGGCCGGUUGUGACAUAUAGAAGCGACGUCUGGUCAUUUACAACACAAAAUAAGAAUAGCCUAAAGAUAGUUGAAUGAAAAACCAUGUUGAAUGAGAAAACAUUGUUAGAUUUGCAAAAGCUCAGAGAAUAAAAGGGAUGGGAGACAUCUUAAGAAUGAGUGAAACCAAGAAGAAAGUAUUUGCGAGCAAACCAGAUAUACCAAGAAAUAGGAGAAGACCUAGAAAAAGAUGGAUAGACGGUGUUACUAACGGCAUAAAGAAGUAGCGCGUUAAAAAUUGGAGAGUGACAGCACUUAAUAGAGUGCGUAAUUGUGCAGAAGGCCAAAUCUCACCAAGAGAUGUAAAUAUAGACAGAAAUAUAAUGGAGGCCAAAGCAAUCUUUCAAGUAGUUCGUUUGUGGAGAUGAAUCUAACUUUUGGGGCGCUGAGUACAAGAUAUAUUUAUAAUUAUAGUUUUUGAAUACAUCCAUUUUCAAUAUUUUCGAUAUCUUAAGUUCAACUCUUGUUACAAUUGAGGUUAUAUCAAAUGACAAUGAGUUUGACUUGGAAUACUAAGGAGUCGUUAAGGACAGAGGACUCUUCAAGGUAUGACUAUGAAUAUGACCCUUAAUAAAUUUAAUUAAGGAUAAGUAGUGUUGGUGGGAAUAUAUGUGAAGUUCGUCGAAGUGCCAUAAAGUAUGGAGCUUUUGACACUUUAAUCGAAAAUACUUAUUGCGGUUAUUUAUUACUGUGAUAAAUCCUGUUAUAAAGGAUUAAGCAUUUAUUUAUUCCACAAUGUUGAAAAUUUAUCUUUCAUUUUGACUUUUCAAAAGAUCAAUCUGACAAAAUUGAAAUAAUGUCUGAUGGAAAACUUAUUUGCAAAACCACGGUGUUGUUGUUGGUACUCACUAGAUACUCUUCAACUUACAACAUUUUUGUUUGAUUUUGAACCUAUUUGGUUUGUAAGUAGAGUGUUAUUAAGUUUCUUUAAAUACUUUCGCCUAAUAUGAUAUUAUUCCUGAUGAUGGUAUAAAAUUAAAAUCGGUUAAACAAA
Molecule: long non-coding RNA, 2007 nt
Filed under: Onthophagus taurus
Lineage: Eukaryota; Metazoa; Arthropoda; Insecta; Coleoptera; Scarabaeidae
Description: uncharacterized LOC111419205
Source: RNAcentral